RNAcentral lists this ribosomal RNA (193 nucleotides) under uncultured eukaryote. RNAcentral describes it as "partial 18S ribosomal RNA". It matches the Rfam family "Eukaryotic small subunit ribosomal RNA", at positions 1 to 179 of the family's 1831-position model. The record is from RNAcentral.
UAACCUGGUUGAUCCUGCCAGUUUGUCAUAUGCUUCUUUCAAGGACUAAGCCAUGCAAAUGUCAGUGGACCUGAGUUCACUCGGGGGGACUGUGUACGGCUCAUUAAACGGUUAAUAGUCUACCCAACAGAGAAGGCAUUCGUGCCUUCCGACGGGAUAACUGCCCUAACUGGGCAGCUAAUACCUGGACGAA